Molecule: ribosomal RNA, 427 nt
Filed under: uncultured bacterium
Lineage: Bacteria
Description: bacterial SSU rRNA
Rfam family: Bacterial small subunit ribosomal RNA
Source: RNAcentral
GCUAAGAAUCUUGCGCAAUGGGCGAAAGCCUGACGCAGCAACGCCGCGUGGGGGACGAAGGCCUUCGGGUCGUAAACCCCUUUUGCGAGGGAAGAAGUUCUGACGGUACCUCGCGAAUAAGCCACGGCUAACUCCGUGCCAGCAGCCGCGGUAAGACGGAGGGCGCAAGCGUUGUUCGGAAUUACUGGGCGUAAAGCGCGGGCAGGUGGUCUGUUAAGUCGUUUGUGAAAAUCCGGGGCUCAACCCCGGAAAUGCGUACGAUACUGGCAGACUGGAGAUCGGUAGAGGCUAGCGGAAUUCCUGGUGUAGCGGUGGAAUGCGUAGAGAUAUGGAGGAACACCAGUGGCGAAGGCGACUUUCUGGUCUGUAACUGACACUGAGGCGCGAAAGCGUGGGGAGCAAACAGGAUUAGAAACCCUAGUAGUCC